GAGGGUAUAGUUUGGUGGUAGAGGGCAUGCUUUGCAUGCACGAAGUCCUGGGUUCAGUCCCCAGUGCCCCCA
This 72-nucleotide transfer RNA is filed under the name Camelus bactrianus (Bactrian camel). It matches the Rfam family "tRNA". From Rfam's summary of the family: Transfer RNA (tRNA) molecules are approximately 80 nucleotides in length. Their secondary structure includes four short double-helical elements and three loops (D, anti-codon, and T loops). Further hydrogen bonds mediate the characteristic L-shaped molecular structure. tRNAs have two regions of fundamental functional importance: the anti-codon, which is responsible for specific mRNA codon recognition, and the 3' end, to which the tRNAs corresponding amino acid is attached (by aminoacyl-tRNA synthetases). tRNAs cope with the degeneracy of the genetic code in two manners: having more than one tRNA (with a specific anti-codon) for a particular amino acid; and 'wobble' base-pairing, i.e. permitting non-standard base-pairing at the 3rd anti-codon position. Lineage: Eukaryota; Metazoa; Chordata; Mammalia; Artiodactyla; Camelidae. The record is from Rfam by way of RNAcentral. RNAcentral also lists the same sequence under 2 other names.